AGGCCUUCGGGUCGUAAAGUUCUUUCGCCAGGGAAUAAGGGAUAUAGGAUAAUACCCUAUAAACUUGAAGGUACCUGGUAAAGAAGCACCGGCUAACUCCGUGCCAGCAGCUGCGGUAAUACGGAGGGUGCAAGCAUUAAUCGGAUUUAUUGGGCGUAAAGGGCGCGUAGGCGGAAUGGAAAGUCAGAUGUGAAAUCCCGGGGCUCAACCUCGGAAUUGCAUUUGAAACUCUCAUUCUUGAGGAUAGGCGGGGAAAACGGAAUUCCACAAGUAGCGGUGAAAUGCGUAGAUAUGUGGAAGAACACCGGUGGCGAAGGCGGUUUUCUAGCUUAUUCCUGACGCUGAGGCGCGAAAGCAGGGGGAGCGAACAGGAUUAGAUACCCUGGUAGUCCUUGCCGUAAACGAUGCAUACUUGGUGUAGUUGGACUCAACCCCGACUUUGCCGAAGCUAACGCGUUAAGUAUGCCGCCUGGGGAGUACGCUCGCAAGGGUGAAACUCAAAAGAAUUGACGGGGACCCGCACAAGCAGUGGAGCAUGUGGUUUAAUUCGAUGCAACGCGAAGAACCUUACCUAGGCUUGACAUGCAGUGGACCGCUUCAGAGAUGAAGUUUUUCUUCGGAACCGCUGUGCAGGUGCUGCAUGGCUGUCGUCAGCUCGUGCCGUGAGGUGUUGGGUUAAGUCCCGCAACGAGCGCAACCCUUAUCGUUAGUUGCCAGCAU
This 720-nucleotide ribosomal RNA is filed under the name uncultured bacterium. RNAcentral's name for it is "bacterial SSU rRNA". It matches the Rfam family "Bacterial small subunit ribosomal RNA", at positions 412 to 1124 of the family's 1533-position model. The record is from RNAcentral.